UACAGAGGGUGCGAGCGUUGUUCGGAAUUAUUGGGCGUAAAGGGCGCGUAGGCGGUGCGGUAAGUCACCUGUGAAAUCUCCUGGCUCAACUGGGAGCUUGCAGGCGAAACUGCCGUGCUGGAGUGUGGGAGAGGUGCGUGGAAUUCCCGGUGUAGCGGUGAAAUGCGUAGAUAUCGGGAGGAAUACCUGUGGCGAAAGCGGCGCACUGGACCACAACUGACGCUGAGGCGCGAAAGCUAGGGGAGCAAACAGG
Molecule: ribosomal RNA, 253 nt
Filed under: uncultured bacterium
Lineage: Bacteria
Description: partial 16S ribosomal RNA
Rfam family: Bacterial small subunit ribosomal RNA
Source: RNAcentral